GAUUAGCUCAGCGGUAGAGCAGUGGACUGUUAAUCCAUUGGUCGCAAGUUCGAAUCUUGCAU
This 62-nucleotide transfer RNA is filed under the name zebrafish metagenome. It matches the Rfam family "tRNA", at positions 6 to 65 of the family's 71-position model. Rfam says of the family: Transfer RNA (tRNA) molecules are approximately 80 nucleotides in length. The record is from RNAcentral.